CCGGAUCCGGCAAUGGCAGAUCCAUCGUGCCUUCUUGUCCGGCUCUCUGAUUGCCAUCCACUUCUUCUGAGACGCAACACAAAUCUCAGCAUUUCAAUAACAAGUAAGUAAUCGUGAACCGAAGCCAAUUUCUAAUACAGCAUUCAUUACCUUCCUUCUCCAUCAUCGUCUUUAGCAGUCGUUAGGAACAGAUCGGGGCGGGGUUAAAGGUUUGGAUGUGGGAAGAGAUCAAGGGAAGCUUAAGAAGGGAGGAGGCGGGGGAUGGGUGGCGGUCCGCGAAGGGAGGGAGGGAAGGGGAGGGAGAUGAGGCCGUUGACUGUUGGGAACAGAUCCUGUUUACGUGCUCUCCAAAAUUGAGAUCGUUAUGACGGAGAGACGCGUUUCGCAGGCUGGCCGAGCCAUGCAUCAUUGGCAUGGUUGACUUGGCAGACAAGUCAACCUGAUCAUCGCAUCCUCAUGAAUAAAUGAGGUAUGAUGAAAUGCGGGUGGAGGUCAUGAUUUGGCAUGUCAAUCUUGCAUGUUGCAAGAUUGGCAUUGUAGAUUUAGCAAUUAUAUACGUUAUAAUAUGCCAUAACGUAUACACUAUACUUAAACGAAGCAUUUAGCUUAAUUUUGUCCUUAUUAUCAUGGAUCGUGCUAUCAACAGUUAAAAAGUCUUUACCAGUGGCAUCCCCAACAAUUAGUGCCGUUACAUUGGUACAUACAUAGCUCGGAGAUAAAUUUCGGUCUUUGUAAUAGAUAUUACACCAAAUGAUAGGUCUUUAGUGAUUGAAUGGAGUGGGAUGAAGUAGUCGUACGGAGUUGGUGGACAUGAUCCAGACGUCUGAUAUCAUCCAAAGUUGGUGUUGAUCUCCUCAUUUACACAUACAUGUCGAACAGAUCUAUAAUUACAGAGAUUUCUGACACUCAUUGCAGCAGAAUUUUAUUUGAUUUUGUUUUCAAUUACAGAUGAAUGUGAGAAGAAGAUUCUUGUGGUCUCACGGUCGUACAGUUUCCGAUAAGCCAUCUCCAUUAGAAAUGAGUUAAUUCACUAGGCUCAAUCUAUGAGGAUACUGUAAGCAUCCGAAGUGUGGUAAUGGACAAAAUGGGAAGAAGAAGAAGAAGAAGACAAAAGAUUGGUCAGAGACUUGGCAAGUUCUACUUAUCAUGAUCCAUGCAGGUGACCUCAUGUGUGUUCCUUCAAAGAUCCAUCUUUGAACAUCUUGUGACUGAGGCUGUUGAACAUUGCUCGCGAGUACUGUCGUGAGCCAUUCCUCCAAUCUGUUCCAGCCUUCAUCAUCAUCUCAAAUUCUUCAUAGCUUAUACGGCCAUCCUGUGGAACAACCCAUGCACAGAGUCCAGUAAGAUCCAAAGUCUUUUUUCUUAUGGCAAGCUUUUCCGAAACAAAUUAUAUAUCUUUAAUUCGAACUAAAUGCCAAAAGGCGUAUAGGAAGCGUAAAAGAAGGAUCCCAAGAUGAGGAAGUUGAUACUACCUUGUCCUUGUCGACGUCUGAGAUGAUAUCCAAGAUCACUUGCUCACUCAGUUCAAGUCCUCCUAUGGCUUCUCUCAGCUCAUCAAUCUCGAUGUAUCCACUCUGGUUCUUGUCGAAAUAGUUGAAGGCUUUUGGAAGGUGCUCCUCACUAUCAAUCCUUUUCAGGUGAACAGUGACGGUAACGAACUCCUCGCAAUUCACUGUACCAUUUCCAUCAAUAUCUGCCUGUGAUCAGAGGCAAAAAAAACAUGAUUUUGUGGGAAGAAGACGAUCACAAAGAGUUCAACUGAAAGACUUGCAUGCAACAAUUUGUGCACUACAUAGUUAUCGUGAUCCAAAUAGUUCCACAUUGGGUACAAGCUAAUGUUUAUCAGCAUAUGAUUUAUAACCUACUCAUGAAUACACUUUUUUGCAUAUUUCUGAAGUAGAAGGUAUUUGAUCAUUUCUUUGGUGCUUCUUACAGUCCUUUGAAAGCAAUUUCCUCAUCAAAGAUGCUUCUGUGAUUCCUAGAACCAGUGUUGAAGUUCAUAAGUACAGGUAGAAACGGUAAUGGCUUUACAUGAUGGUGGA
RNAcentral lists this long non-coding RNA (2042 nucleotides) under Musa acuminata (dwarf banana). RNAcentral describes it as "long non-coding RNA (MACU_LNC001432)". Lineage: Eukaryota; Viridiplantae; Streptophyta; Magnoliopsida; Zingiberales; Musaceae. The record is from RNAcentral.